CAUGCAGUCGAACGGUAGAGGGGGCAACCCCUUGAGAGUGGCGAACGGGUGAGUAAUGUAUCGGAACGUGCCCAGUCGUGGGGGAUAACGUAGUGAAAAUUACGCUAAUACCGCAUACGAUCUAUGGAUGAAAGCGGGGGAUCGCAAGACCCCGCGCGAUUGGAGCGGCCGAUAUCAGAUUAGGUAGUUGGUGGGGUAAAGGCUCACCAAGCCAACGAUCUGUAGCUGGUCUGAGAGGACGACCAGCCACACUGGAACCGAGACACGGUCCAGACUCCUACGGGAGGCAGCAGUGGGGAAUUUUGGACAAUGGACGCAAGUCUGAUCCAGCCAUUCCGCGUGCAGGACGAAGGCCUUCGGGUUGUAAACUGCUUUUGUACGGAACGAAAAAGCUCUUAUUAAUACUAGGAGUCCAUGACGGUACCGUAAGAAUAAGCACCGGCUAACUACGUGCCAGCAGCCGCGGUAAUACGUAGGGUGCAAGCGUUAAUCGGAAUUACUGGGCGUAAAGCGUGCGCAGGCGGUUAUAUAAGACAGAUGUGAAAUCCCCGAGCUUAACUUGGGAACUGCAUUUGUGACUGUAUAGCUAGAGUACGGCAGAGGGGGAUGGAAUUCCGCGUGUAGCAGUGAAAUGCGUAGAUAUGCGGAGGAACACCGAUGGCGAAAGCAAUCCCCUGGGCCUGUACUGACGCUCAUGCACGAAAGCGUGGGGAGCAAACAGGAUUAGAUACCCUGGUAGUCCACGCCCUAAACGAUGUCAACUGGUUGUUGGGUCUUCACUGACUCAGUAACGAAGCUAACGCGUGAAGUUGACCGCCUGGGGAGUACGGCCGCAGGUGAAACUCAAAGGAAUGACGGGACCCGCACA
This 868-nucleotide ribosomal RNA is filed under the name uncultured bacterium. Its description in RNAcentral is "bacterial SSU rRNA". It matches the Rfam family "Bacterial small subunit ribosomal RNA", at positions 54 to 927 of the family's 1533-position model. The record is from RNAcentral.